AUGAAGAACAAAGAGCAAGCAGCAAACCCAGUCCGGAAUAGAGAACAACCGAGAUGAUCUCCUCAGAUUGGACCUGGUUCUGGUCCUAUUAGGACCAUUUGGGGAAGUGGGACUAAAUCAAAGUCUUCACUCGUGAGCAAUUGAUUGCAGCUAUAGCCUCAACACUCGCUUUAAACUGAAGCAGUCUCUCACUCAAUCAACGGGAAUGCCCCUCCCCGUCAAGAUAUAUAAAUAGACAUCGAAGCAGCCUGUUUACAAGUUUGUGAGUAAGAAGUUGAAAGAAUACUUAAUCGGUUUGGAAUGAUUUCUUUUAAGCGUGAGGGCCACUAUCUCGCUUGUCAGUAGUCUCGGCUGUGUCAGGCUUGUUUGGUGAACAGUGGAUGUGCAAGAGUGAAAAUUUUCCAGGCAUCUGUAUGAAGGCUGCACUUGAACAUGGUUGGAUUAAAACCGACAGAUGUGCCUCCAACAAAUGGUGUAAAAGUUGUUGGUGCUGGUGCAGCAGCUUGUGUAGCCGAUCUUGUUACAUUCCCUCUUGAUACCACCAAAGUCAGAUUGCAGAUUCAAGGGGAAUCCAAGUCUAUCAACAAUGUGACCUCUCCAAAGUAUAGAGGCGUCUUUGGUACCAUGGUGACGAUUGUGAAAACUGAAGGAGCAAGAAGCCUCUAUAAUGGCUUGGUGGCUGGUCUUCAACGUCAGAUGAGCUUCGCAUCAGUGCGUAUUGGGCUUUAUGAUUCUGUCAAACACUUCUACACCAGUGGAUCUGAUGCUAUUACCGUCAGUAGUCGUUUGCUUGCUGGCUGCACAACAGGAGCCAUGGCAGUCACCAUGGCACAACCAACAGAUGUGGUGAAAGUAAGGUUUCAAGCACAAUUGAACAUAACUGGUGUGAGUAAGAGGUACAGUGGGACCAUAGACGCCUACAGAAAAAUUGCUAAGGAGGAAGGACUUCCAGGAUUAUGGAAAGGUACUCUGCCAAAUAUUAUUCGCAAUUCUGUUGUGAACUGCUCGGAGCUAGUGACAUAUGAUUUGAUCAAGGAAGGGCUGAUCAAGUAUAACUUUAUGACUGAUAACCUGCCAUGCCACUUUUGUUCUGCUUUUGGUGCUGGAUUCUGCACAACCAUUGUAGCUUCACCUGUUGAUGUAGUAAAAACAAGAUACAUGAACUCUGCUCCUGGCCAAUACAGCAGUGCCUUAAGUUGCUCCUUUAUCAUGCUGACAAAAGAGGGAUUCACAGCUUUCUAUAAAGGGUUUAUGCCCUCCUUCCUGCGUCUGGGAUCAUGGAAUGUGGUAAUGUUUGUUACGUAUGAACAGUUGAAACGUGCAAUGAUGCUGGUGAAGCAGUCCUGGGAAUAAUCAUCUUGUUCCAUGUUUUAUAUAUUUUUACAUCAAAGUUUUUAAUAUUUACCAUGUUUAUAUAAAUCCAAAGGGCAUGGAUUUCUUGAUCAUUCUGUUUUAAAGAAUGAUUCAAACUGUGGGCAUGUCGCUGGUCGAUUGCAAUGCUAUUAUCUUGCUGCUGCUUUACUUCUUAAUUUGAGGUAAUUUGUGAAUAUAUUUUUGUGAAGGUGAAUAAAGAUAAUUAUUUGAUGUAUUGUCUCUUCUGGAAUGUAGAAACAAACUAAUGACCCCAUUACCUCUACUUCUAAUAUAAUCGGUGAUUUUUUCCCCCCCCCUCCAAGUCUGAAGUAUUGUAUAGACUAUAUAUAUUUUUUAAAGUUCAUUUCAUGGGUUGCCAGACAGGCCAAAUGCUGACUGCAGUUGUGAGGGUGAGUACAGAGUACACUUCUGUAUUUGAGUCAUUCACUUGCAUGGUCAAAAAUGGAUAAAGCAUGAUUUAAGGAUCAUGUUAUCAAGCAAUGACUUGGUUCUAAGUUAAACACAAACACAAUUGCUUUUAAUUCCAGAAAAUGUUAAAUAUUGCAGAUCUUCAGCUUCUGGAAAAGCUCAACAGAUCUGGCAGCUGCUAUAGAGCAAGAGAAGAUACUGCCAGACCUGCUGAGUUUCUACAAGACUUUGUUAUUUCUGUGGUCUUUGUUUGGUGUGACAUG
RNA transcript from Rhincodon typus (whale shark), 2045 nucleotides. It is a transcript of the gene named mitochondrial uncoupling protein 2-like, with no coding region annotated. The record is from RefSeq and is a predicted model, not a curated record. Lineage: Eukaryota; Metazoa; Chordata; Chondrichthyes; Orectolobiformes; Rhincodontidae. The transcript has 8 exons.